Molecule: small RNA, 28 nt
Filed under: Bombyx mori (domestic silkworm)
Lineage: Eukaryota; Metazoa; Arthropoda; Insecta; Lepidoptera; Bombycidae
Description: ovarian small RNA-34338
Source: RNAcentral
UGCUUUCAGAAUAGCCUGCAUCUCCGCC